Molecule: unclassified non-coding RNA, 243 nt
Filed under: uncultured Hydnangium
Lineage: Eukaryota; Fungi; Basidiomycota; Agaricomycetes; Agaricales; Hydnangiaceae
Description: sequence contains ITS1
Source: RNAcentral
UUGAAUAAACCUGAUGUGGUUGUAGCUGGCUUUUCGAAGCAUGUGCUCGCCCGUCAUCUUUAUCUAUCCACCUGUGCACCUUUUGUAGUCUUGGGGGAUACCUCUCGAGGAAACUCGGUUUUGGGAUCGCCGCGCUGUACAAGUCGGCUUUCCUUGCAUUUCCAAGACUAUGUUUUUCAUAUACACCAAAGCAUGUUUAAAGAAUGUCAUCAAUAGGAGCAAGUUUCCUAAUAAAAAGUUAUA